UACAGGGGAUGCAAGCGUUAUCCGGAAUGAUUGGGCGUAAAGGGUCUGUCACGGCGGUUUUAAAAGUCUAUUGUUAAAAACCAGAGUUUAACUCUGGGUUGGCAAUGGAAACUUUGAAACUAGAGUUCGGUUGAGGUAGAUGGAAUUACCGGUGUAACGGUGAAAUGUGCAGAUAUCGGUAAGAACACCAACGGCGAAAGCAAUCUACUGGGCCAGUAACUGACGCUCAAGGACGAAAGCUAGGGGAGCGAAUAGG
RNAcentral lists this ribosomal RNA (256 nucleotides) under uncultured bacterium. Its description in RNAcentral is "partial 16S ribosomal RNA". It matches the Rfam family "Bacterial small subunit ribosomal RNA", at positions 524 to 776 of the family's 1533-position model. The record is from RNAcentral.